AUACGUAGGGGGCAAGCGUUGUCCGGAUUUACUGGGCGUAAAGGGUGCGUAGGCGGAUUCUUAAGUGGGAUGUGAAAUACCCGGGCUCAACCUGGGUGCUGCCUUCCAAACUGGGUGUCUAGAGUGCAGGAGAGGAAGGUGGAAUUCCUAGUGUAGCGGUGAAAUGCGUAGAGAUUAGGAAGAACACCAGUGGCGAAGGCGAUUUUCUGGGCUGUAACUGACGCUCAGGCACGAAAGCGUGGGGAGCAAACAGGAUUAGAUACCCUGGUAGUCCACGCCGUAAACGAUGGGAACUAGUUGUAGGGGGGUAAAACCCUCAGUGCCGACGCAAACGCAUGGAGUACCCCGCCUGGGGAGUACGGUCGCAAGAUUAA
This 374-nucleotide ribosomal RNA is filed under the name uncultured bacterium. RNAcentral describes it as "bacterial SSU rRNA". It matches the Rfam family "Bacterial small subunit ribosomal RNA", at positions 523 to 897 of the family's 1533-position model. The record is from RNAcentral.